AGUGAACGCUGGCGGCAUGCCUAAUACAUGCAAGUCGAACGGAGAUUAAAUAGCUUGCUAUUUAAUCUUAGUGGCGCACGGGUGAGUAAUAUAUAGUUAAUCUGCCCCAUAGUGGAGGACAACAGUUAGAAAUGACUGCUAAUACUCCAUACUCCUUCUUAUCAUAAGUUAAGUCGGGAAAGUUUUUCGCUAUGGGAUGAGACUAUAUCGUAUCAGCUAGUUGGUGAGGUAAUGGCUCACCAAGGCUAUGACGCGUAACUGGUCUGAGAGGAUGAUCAGUCACAUUGGAACUGAGACACGGUCCAAACUCCUACGGGAGGCAGCAGUAGGGAAUAUUGCGCAAUGGGGGAAACCCUGACGCAGCAACGCCGCGUGGAGGAUGACACUUUUCGGAGCGUAAACUCCUUUUGUUAGGGAAGAAUAAUGACGGUACCUAACGAAUAAGCACCGGCUAACUCCGUGCCAGCAGCCGCGGUAAUACGGAGGGUGCAAGCGUUACUCGGAAUCACUGGGCGUAAAGGACGCGUAGGCGGAUUAUCAAGUCUCUUGUGAAAUCUAGUGGCUUAACCACUAAACUGCUUGGGAAACUGAUAAUCUAGAGUAAGGGAGAGGCAGAUGGAAUUCUUGGUGUAGGGGUAAAAUCCGUAGAGAUCAAGAAGAAUACUUAUUGCGAAGGCGAUCUGCUAGAACUUAACUGACGCUAAUGCGUGAAAGCGUGGGGAGCAAACAGGAUUAUAUACCCUGGUAGUCCAAGGGCGAAUUCCACAGUGGAUAUCAAGCUUAUCGAUAUCGUCGACCUCGAGGGGGGGCCCGGUACCCAACCUUUUGUUCCCUUUAGUGAGGGGUAAUUAAA
Molecule: ribosomal RNA, 853 nt
Filed under: uncultured Campylobacter sp.
Lineage: Bacteria; Pseudomonadati; Campylobacterota; Epsilonproteobacteria; Campylobacterales; Campylobacteraceae
Description: bacterial SSU rRNA
Rfam family: Bacterial small subunit ribosomal RNA
Source: RNAcentral